Long non-coding RNA from Momordica charantia (bitter melon), 2147 nucleotides. RefSeq lists it as uncharacterized. The record is from RefSeq and is a predicted model, not a curated record. NCBI's taxonomy places the organism in Eukaryota, Viridiplantae, Streptophyta, Magnoliopsida, Cucurbitales, Cucurbitaceae.
GAGUGAGAAAAAGGGAUUUUUUUUCCUUUUUUUUGUUUUAGGUGGGUUGGAAUUGGAACCCAAAAAAACCCGGUUUUUGUAGGUACCCAUUUGUCCUUUUUUUCACUUUACAAGUUCUAUCCUUUUGCCCAUUUCAAUCUUUCAUCUUCUCGAACACGCAUUUCUCAGACUGCCCUUUAUCUCUUUUUCUCCCUUUUUUCUUUAUCUCUCUCUCUUUAUUUCUCUCUAUGGAAGCUGAGGAACGAGAAGAAGAAGAAGGCCAAAGAAGCAAUUUUGUUUGAGGGGAAUGUUGUCUGGCUCGAGGCCACUGAUUACUGAAUCUGAAAUGGGAUCGAAAAAGAGAACCAAAAAAUCCUCUCUUUAUCUAAUUCUAAUUCACUUGAAAAUUACGACAAAUCGGCCAUUACAGAAGCAGUGUCGUCGGACCAGGCUUCAUUCCCCCCACAAUUCUUGCUUCGAUUUGCAGAAGAGAAACAAAGAACCCCCAAAUCGAUCGCUGCUGCUUCAUCGGGUUCUCCUCCUCCUCCCGAUCUGCAGAUUCAGGGCUGAUUUAGAGAGAGAGAGAGAAAGGUCUACGCUUUCUCUUCUAACUGAUCUUCUAGUCUCACCCUUCAUCAUUGUUCUGAUUUUUCUUUCUUUACUUGCAAUCAUGCCUUUCAGAAUCUUCUUUGUCUGUUUCUCUGAUCCAUAUAUAUUUUCUUUCCAUUUUUUCCCAUUAGGGUUUUCUCUCCAUUUCCCUCAUUGAUUUCAAGUUUGAGUUUUUUUCCUGUUCAAGUUAGAGAUUCAAAAGCUUCUUUUGUUUUCGUGCCUUAAAGGCUUAGAUCCCUGUUGAAGUGCUUUUAUGAAGGGGUUUUUCAGAGUGUGGUGUGAUAAAUAAAGAAAGAAAGACAUGGAUGAGAAUCUGAUUUGGUUCGGUUUCAUGAAGAUCUGCUUCUGUGGCUGUAUAUCUGAGGAAUUUCAGCCUUCAAACUGAAGUUUAGUUUCUGCACAUUGAAGGAUAAAUAGCUAUAACUAAGACUAAUUAGAGUGGGAAUUGGAAAACCUGUUCCUACAUGGACUUGAGAAUCGCUUUCCCCUGUCGAAUAGUGGAUCUUCAGACAUUAUUGCAGGACUUUGAAUGAGCUUGCCAAGAAAAAAUUUAGAUUUUCUAUGGUAAAAAUCACUCCUCUCAUUAUGUUUGACAAAUUAAAAAUUUUAAAUAGAUUUUUAAGUUAUCGGAUGGUGAUUUUGAAAAAUCAUCAUAUUUCAAUCCAUCUUUUCAAAAUCAUUCAUUCGUCGAUCACUCUCAAACAAAUCUUUAAUGCAGACAUGAUAGAUUGAUUAACAAGUGAUUAUUUGACAUAACAUGCCAACUAUUGGCACAAAAGAGUAUGUUAACACGAUAACAAAGGACUUAAAAGCCAAAAAAAAAAGAAGCUUUCAAUGUAUAUGUUGUUUUCUCAUUCCAUUAUUAUUAUUAUUAUUACUAUUAUUUAUUUAUUUAUUUAUUUUUCUCACUCUAUUUUACUUAGCGUCUCUUAUCUCACGUUAUGUCGAAUUAUUAUUAUUGUUGUGGUAAAAGAUUCAUUAUAAUCAAAAUCAAAUACAAGAUACAAGUGGUGAUCUAAAUUCUAACCCACAAAAUGUAGGAAGAAAAAGAAGAGGAAAGAGAGUGAUUUGAAAAGGUGAGGAGAGAGAAAGGAAGAGGAGGAGGGUAAUGGGUGAGUGUACUGUGUAAGUAUAGGGUGUCUGAUGGGGAGGAGUGGUGUGUCUCAUUCUGUCAUCAAUUUUUGAAACUGAGACAUAUGCUCCACAUAAAUGUUUAUAAUUAUUUGUCUGCAUCUCUCUCUCUCUCUCUCUCUUUUUCUCUGUCUCUGAAAAAUCUGAAUCAUUUGUGUUAAAUUAAUAAGAGAAGUCAACAUCAGCAAUUACACACCAUGCACAGUCAAAGAAGCUACUAGGGGCUGUGAUGUGUGUUCUUGUUUUGCCACACCUUUUUGCAAGUGAAAAAACCUAUAAUUUUUUUUGUGCAAAUUAAUCUUGAUUAGACAGAGCCUGAAAAGUAGUGUGGUGGGUUAAUUAGAGGGAAUGUUCUUGGAUUGAGUAUGGAAUUGCCAUUGAAAGCAUUUUGUGAACAUGCAAAUGAAACAAAAGAGAUUAAUUUUUUA